AACAAAUUUUAGCAAACCAUAGAUAUGAUCUGCAGAUAAGCCAGUAUGUUGUGUCCAAAUCGUUGUAUUGUUUAGCUCUUCCUUAACAAUCUGGAGUGCCAAAUCAACGGGGAUAGAUGUAAAUAAAGAUGUUACGUCGAAUGAGACGAUACGCUCAUUAGGUUCAAUUUUUUUAUUGAAAAUAAAACUGGCAAAUUCUUUAGAGUUCCUAACUGUGUAAACAUCAUUGUAUAAGUAUUUUAGAAUGCGCGCCAUCAGACUAACACAAAUGCUGAGUAUGAAAUUCGUGGAUCGACAUGUCUUCCUUAUGUUAACGGAGUUUCAGAAAAAGUAAAAAGUAUUUUAACCAAUGCAGGAGUUCGGGUCGCGUUAAAACCAGUACUAACUUUAGGGAAUAUUUUUCGCAAGCCCAAAGCAAGACCGUCAGAAGACAGAACAAAAGCUAUUGUAUACAAAUACAAAUGCAACGACAAAUGGGCGACAAGGUGGUUAGAACACAAACCGGGAGUUAGAAAGAGAAUUUUUUCGACAAUAAAGGAACACGCUGAAUGCACUGGUCACAACGCUGCAAAAUCAGACGCUGUAAUAUUAGAAAAGGGAGUUAAGAACUACGAACAAAGGAUUUUCUUAGAGGCUUUACAUUCCACUCUUAGUGAAAACACGGCUAAUGAACAUACUGAAUUUCCGGCUUGUUAUUCUAUAUUAGCAGAUGAAAUCAAACGGAACGAUAAACAUUAUAAAUAGAGGUGUAAUGACUCUUGCCAUAUACUCUGAUGAAGGCUUGCAGCUCGCAGCCGAAAAUUUAGUUUUAAUUUUACUAGUUUUUAUUUUAAAUAAAAUGUUUUUAACCAGAUCAGCUACAAACCUUAGAAAAGUUAUCAUGUAUUCUACUGAUCGCCUCAACAGCAUAUAGGUAUAUAUAUAUAUAGGUAUAUAUAUAUAUAUAUAUAUAUAUAUAUAUAUAUAUAUAUAUAUAUAUAUAUAUAUAUAUAUAUAUAUAUAUAUAUAUAUAUAUAUUCUCAUAUUUAAUCUCUAUUAAUCUGUCUAGGCCGGGAGGAAGUAAAAGAAAGAGGAAACUGUCCCAUGCAAAGCGUUCAUCCAGUGCAUCUAAUACAGUAAACGCUGAAGUAGAGCUUGAAUUUACUGAAGCAAAGCCAAACCAACUGGCACCUUUGGAAGAAGAAGUCGCGGAUGGGAAAUUAAAUAAUAUUAAGGUUCAACCACAGAUCAGCGCAG
This is a non-coding RNA of Paramuricea clavata, 1236 nucleotides long. Lineage: Eukaryota; Metazoa; Cnidaria; Anthozoa; Malacalcyonacea; Plexauridae. The record is from the annotation of a GenBank genome assembly.